This is a long non-coding RNA of Gossypium arboreum, 518 nucleotides long. RefSeq lists it as uncharacterized. The record is from RefSeq and is a predicted model, not a curated record. The transcript has 2 exons. Lineage: Eukaryota; Viridiplantae; Streptophyta; Magnoliopsida; Malvales; Malvaceae.
AAAAGUGCAAUUUCAAAAUUUGAACAGCAUAAAUUGUGAAGUGAAAUAGAAAUCAAAUAAAUGCUAAUGAGUAGAAAUAUUUUAUAUUAUAGAUCAAGAAUCCAAAGAAGAACGAGGAAAAGAAAAAGUUGCGGAAUAGUCCCUAAAUUUCAAUAUCUUCUACAAAUUAGCCGGAUUGACUUGAAGUGAAGUGGGUAGAUCGGAUCAACACAACAAAGCACACUAUCCAGAUCAAUUCCGGUAGCUUUUGUUUUAUGUUUGAAGAUUUAUAUGGCAUGUAUAGAGUUUAAAUGAAAUAAAGUAAAGAUGUUAUAAACUAGUUAACAACAUUUUGUACUAAAACAGUUUUUGGUUAGUAGCAGUAGUUUGAGUUUGAAAAUUUACCAUAAAUCAUGAAAAUAUAAUUAGAGGUUGAAUAAAAUAUGAAAUUAAAUCUUAUUGAAUCUAGUUUCACAUAGAAGAAACGGUGUAAGGAAAAGGCUUUCAUAUCAGGAGAUAUUUGAAUUUCUGUGAGACAA